This 468-nucleotide ribosomal RNA is filed under the name uncultured bacterium. Its description in RNAcentral is "partial 16S ribosomal RNA". It matches the Rfam family "Bacterial small subunit ribosomal RNA", at positions 28 to 507 of the family's 1533-position model. The record is from RNAcentral.
GACGAACGCUGGCGGCGUGCUUAACACAUGCAAGUCGAACGGAAAGGCCCUGCUUUUGUGGGGUGCUCGAGUGGCGAACGGGUGAGUAACACGUGAGUAACCUGCCCUUGACUUUGGGAUAACUUCAGGAAACUGGGGCUAAUACCGGAGAGGAGCUCUUGCUGCAUGGUGGGGGUUGGUAAGUUUCGGCGGUGGGGGAUGGACUCGCAGCUUAUCAGCUUGUUUGUGGGGUAGUGGCUUACCAAGGCUUUGACGGGUAGCCGGCCUGAGAGGGUGAACGGCCACCUUGGGACUGAGAUACGGCCCAGAAUGCUACGGGAGGCAGCAGUGGAGAAUAUUGCACAGUGGGCGGAAGCCUGAUGCGGCAACGUCGCGUGCGGAAUGCCGGCCUUCGGGUUGUAAACAGAUUUCGACUGUGCCGAAGCGUGAUUGACGGUAAUGGGUAAAGAAGCCCCGGCUAACUACGUG